GCGGCGGGCGGCGGGGAAGGGGCCAGCGGCACGGGGCAGCCGUGUCCGCGCGGAGCGCUCGGGCAGGGGACGGGGCACGGGACCUCCGGGUUUGGGAUCGGCCGCGCCGCCCGCCCGCACCGUAGUCCCGGCUACCUGCUGUGGGACCGGUUGUAUGCCUUCUUCGACUUCGCCGACUUCUUCCCGUUCCUGCUCCUACUGCGGCAGCUGCGGGGACGCCUAGGGCUGCCGCCGCUCCGGCAGCGGCAGCGGCGGCCCGGCCUUCUAGACGGCCCGCCGCCGCUACAGCUCCUGUACCCGCUCCCGCAGCGGCUGCUCCCGCCGCUGGACCUCCGGCAGCGCUUACACCAAGGACCCCUCCUGCCGAACUUUCGGGGGCCACCACUAGAUCCCAACCCCCUACCGAACUUUCCAGGGCCGCCACUAAAUCCCAACCCCCUGAGGGACAGCCACGAGAAGUCCUUCGGACCGGCGUUCUGAGCCGUCGUCCGGAGCUUCCUACUCCUCCGUCUCCCGCACCUCCGACGGCUAAGCGUCCGUCUCCUCCGAGAGUUACCGCCUAGACCACCGGACCGAAGCCUACUCUGACGGUUCCCGUGGUUCUUCUCCGCCUCCGCCGCGUGGUUCCGCCUCUACCUCCUCUACUCCCGGCGGGAGCGGCGACUCUUAAUGCUGUUGCGUUACCGUCCGCUACCCAGAGGGUCCUCCUCCAGUUCCCGCUUCGGUUUCCGACGAAUAAGACUAUCCGCAAGAUCCCGACGGCGGGCAGCUCGGCAACUUCUUCACGGGCAACCUCUUAACCGCCGGGGACUCGGAGGGGGACUAAACCUUUCCUUCGGGCUACUCUUUCUUCUCCGACACCUAUUUCUUCUCCGACGUCUACUACCAAAUAGUGACCCUCUCUGCGAAGACGUUCUGCACCUUUGGUCGUCUCAACACCUCCCACCUAGAUCUUUGAGAAGACUACCCCGUUCAGUAACACAGCUUCAAGGUCGUUCCCGACUAUUGACGUAACGGAAUUUAGGAACAAGUCCUCCUCUUGGACGACUUUUUCGUAGAGUGUCACGUCGUUUACGUAGGCGACUACCACAAAGACUACGUGUCUGUACGAGGUUUUGGAACCGUCUCCUAUAUUUACGGCUACGUCCAAAAAGAGUUCUAUUCGGUGGACGUGGUUGGUAGUUUUCCUUUGGACCAGCUUUUGGUUUUCUUCGGGGGUUCUUUGGACAAUCUUCCUUCCUCAACGGAAGCCAAUCACGACUACGAUUUGGUCAACUCUAUCGUCUUUCACUACGCAGCAGCUUCGUCGCCGCCGCGUUUUUAUUUAAAGAGAACCGUUCCAGAUGGCGACACGUCAGAUUAAGGAGCGACCUGUUAUUUCGUCCAUCAUGUCCGCUGCAAUUUAUACCGUUAUAGUUUGGUUUACGUCGACACGGUUGUCUUCUUUCGAAUCUAGUCGGUCGACGAAUACCCCAAGUACCCAGGGCACGGCGGUUCCUAAGUGCACGGAGAGUAUUGUACCGUCGUAGACGUUUUCUUUAGUUAUAGUAACUGCACCGUCGCGGUAGGUUAAAACUCCUGUACCUCUUACGUAGUUUCCCCGACAAGAGUUUGGGGAGUCGUCCAAAACGUCUAGUUAGACAGUUUGGUUUUCUAUUUUAAUUUCGCGACCUUCAAGAACUCUUAGUUCCACAACGACGACAUUCACGACCGGAUUACCGCCUCCGACAAAGAGGUUACCUUUUCUAUUUUAAGUUCCUACAGGACUUCGCCUUCCCACCGGAAUUCCUGAUGGACCUCACGUCCUUGUACUAGGAUUCAACGACCUUGUUCCUACAAUUUGUAGAUAACCUAGAACGGCUAACACCAGAAAGAUUACGAGGGUACCUUCUACUAAGUGGUGCAGUUUGUGAAUAUGCACUGCACAUGACAAAGAAUCUAGUCUUACCAAUGUAUUUACGACCUUAGCGUAGUCGGUUCCGCUGUUUCCCAGUACCUUAAGGAACAAGGCUCCAACACCUUCAUCGGUUCAAUUUACUUAAUGGAUUUUACCUCGUUCAGUCCCAACUUCCACUGCAACAACGACAUAGAGAGGUCUUAUUUCUACUACUAAUACCACGAAACCCUGGAAACUGUCUUCUUAGCUUCCUUUUAUUACAGGGACUGCGAGUAACGCUACGGGUUCUCAACUAUGGAGUGAAUGUCAGGUUUCUUGUCCGUAGACUUCUUUUCUUAGAUCUACAUAGUUGACUUCCACCUCUACGUAAAGAUGGUGGCUAGUUAUAAUGAAGUCAACCUUUGUGACUUCCGGGGUCAGAGCUAUUUGGUCUUCGUCGACAAUAGCUUGUAGGACCUUUGUUGACACUCCAUUUAGUAUUUCAACUUAGACCUCCCGCGACGUUUUUCUAUUAGUAACACCCUCGACCAGGCCGGCCAAAUUGACGUCGUGCGGUAAACGUCGCAGUUCCAAAACGACAGUGACAAGAACUUCGUGCACUAUCCUAACCACCAGCACAAAUAUGUCUGGCAUGUAGCGAAAGUCAAGGACACCUAAACCCACGAUCGUAAUAAUGUCCACACCUCCGACUAUAUCGUUGACUUGCUUCCCGACUAGGUAGGAGAAACUAAACAAGAGUCGAACCAGAACUUGACUGACAUGACUUUUCACGAACGGGAGAGAUACUACAUCAUUGACCGUUGUUCCAAGGGCUACUUAACCUACUACUCAACCUUAGACUUAUGUUGCCGGAAGAACUACUUUACCUUGUUGAAAAACUUGUUUUACCACUUUCACGUGACCCAAAUAGGGAACUCCUACCCAACCUUAUAUGAGAAUCCUUCUUUGCACGUAGGGUACAACAAAGAAGACACCCUGUACUACCAGUCAAUUAUUCAUACAGGUUAUCUCCUCCACAUCUGUAAAGGUUUUCACGAAGUUGUCUUUUCCUCUAUCGAGUAACACCCCUCCUACCACUCUAUCUACAAGAGUCGGGAGAACUUUCUUCUCAAUACUUGACCGUGAAACGUGUAAAUCUCAUGCCAACACGACGUUACGAGUUUAGACAGAGAGAAGGCAUGACCUUGGUUCUACUACACAUACCUCCCAAGCCUCCUGGAGUAACGUACUAAUUUCCACCAAUACCGCGACAAGAACUCUCGGAACGUCUUCCUGAACUACAAGUCAAUUUAGUACAACAUUGACUUCAUUACAUGUCCGGACUCCUCAGUCUACGAUCACCGUAGUUACCCUUUUGACAAUUUCAAAGGUGAAGCUUACCUCGACUUAAACACCCUCUACGACACAACUAGUGACAAGGAGAACCCACGAACUUUCGUGUACGUUAGUUUAAAAGAGGAAGGAACGGCCUGACCUUUUGUAGAAGGUAACUGUCCGAACCUAAACCACAAGAUUUAUUUUAUCAUAACCUCAAAGGACUCCAGAAAACCCUACUUUUACACCUAAUAAAACCACGUUGACGCCUUGUUUGUCUAAAUUCCCCUGUUACGAAAUACAAAACCUUAGAGUUUUUCUGUCAGCCGCGUGGUCAAUAUUAUCGAGAUGAACAACCCUUCCGACGAUAUCUACCUGUCUCAUAGUCAAGACUACGAGUACAAUCGGUACGAUACCACCAAGAGGCAUUCGAGAAAUGCCUACGACGACAUGGUCUAGGUCACCGUAGUCAACAGUGUUUAACCCCGGAACUAGGAAAAUCAUCUCCACGAAUGAGAAUACAACGUCAUCCUCGUAGUCCAGUUCUAAUACUGUAGUAUCCUGCCGGUCAACGUUUGACAAAUAAAAAACGACCCCUUCGUUGUACGUUUCUCGUAGGUCUAUGACAACCACCACGUUAAAAUUCACCAGAAGCUCUUCGUCAAGCCUAAUAACUGAACCAUGUGUCACCAUUCCUAAUACACCGACUCCACCUUCGAGAUGUUUGUAUGGUCCACGUCAGUCUAUCACUUUCUUUACUUCAGUCUCUGUACAGUUUAUCUGAACUUCGUGCACUUGACAGUUGACGAGAUACGUUUUUGAGUAGACUACGUAGUAUACGUCAUCGAUCGUUCCUUAGACAUGACGUUCUUUACAAAAAGUCACGCUUGUGAUGUGGUCCCGCGGAUGUAAACCGGUUCCUCGAUGACUUUGAGGGAGGUCUACGAGAAUUUAGUAAGCGACCCAGAUUUCUUCCCGAUUGAUUUGACUUGAGAACCUAUGAACUAAGUGACCCUUUUUUACGUUGAGUUGACAACGCCGUAACACAUGCGAACGAAAACGAACAAAGCUGGCUAGACCAUCGACAAGCGAACAGACCUUAACCCUCCUGACAUUUCCUUUUCCAGACACACGUAUGAUCAGCUCUAUAAGCACGGUAUCGAGCGGUCAACCAGUCAUACACCUAUCUUCAAAAGGCAUUUCUUUUCCGAUCGUUGCCACGAGAGUUUUACGACGCGGCUAACGGUAGUCAACUUAGCUCGUUCUGAUCCUCAUUCCUAGAUGUAAGUCCUUACGCGUGAAGCGUACACGGUUUACUUCGUCCACGUGUCGCACAUUCUAGACGACCCUCGGUAAGUGGAGUGUCUUGACCGUUCUUCGGACUGUUCUAACACUUUAAUAGAUCAUAUUACCGAUGUUUUAGACUACCGACGAGUGAAGCAAGGGUCUUCGUUGUGGUACUAGACCUUGGGUUCCGACUAGUUCCGUACCAAUACAGACUCCUUCUUCGACGACAUAAACGACGACGCCUCCGACGAGCUCAACGACGGUAUCGUCGACGUGUCCGUAUACGUAGGCGUCUCCGUCACUAUUCAUUCGGAGCCCUCGAGGGUUUCUAUGGUAGUAAACCUCUAAAACGUUCCGCACUAGUAGUAAACCUGCUUAGACUAUGUUCUUUCUUUUACUGUUCACUGUUCGUACCCUCUGAACUUACGUAUAGCCUCUAACUAAGGUCCUUACCGUUUUGAUUCUUGAGUAGUCGACUCGUGCGGUUAACAGGACUACAACUGUCGAGCUUUUACUGACAACUAUUGACAUGGGUCUCCUCGAUAAGUUUGCUCUUUCGGACGGAUUAAUUAUAAUUCCUGUUAAGACGUCUCUCACCUCGACAUCUGUCAGCAAAAUGAUCCCGUACCCAACUAUGACUACGUCAGAGGUAACUACCACAGUUUGUAGGGUAUCGGUAACUCUCCACCGUUCGUGUUCGUUACCUUCGUCUAUUUCUUAAGAUGUCAGCCUAUGCGUAUGGGUACCUCCUUCCAAGUCCAUCGGUUUUCGUCUGUACGUUUUCAAGACGGAGCGUCCAACGCCUUUCGUUUGGACGUAGUCUUCCUGUUAGGGCUCCACAUCUUGUAUAUUUUGUCCCCGACUAUCGAAAGUAAUCGUGUGAUGACUACGGUGACAUGUUUUCAUUUUUCUAGCUGUCCCUCCGUAUGUUCUGUUACUACGCCUUUCGACAGUGUUUCUAUUAACUACGUACGUGACUCCCUCUCUUCGACUACUGACGGUUACUUAAAGAACUAAAAUCUUCCUUUUGAUUCUAAGUUUGUAAACACCUAUUCAACCAGCUCUCCGUAACCGUACACCGAGGUCGGGGGUUUAGUAUCGUACAUGUAUAGAUCCUUCGACAAUGUACACCUCUUCGUUUAAAGUGGAACGUCUGAUACGACAGCGAGUAGUCCGUAACCGAGGUACCCUGGAUUUUCUUCGUCUGUACCAAAGUGUUCGGAACCCCCGUUUUGGCUUGGUACUUGGUCUAACUGUGUAAGUAGGAACAUAACUUCAACUAUAGUGGAGGUAGUAGUAGUAGUAGCAACGUUACCGAAGGAUCUGGAGACACGUGAGUCUGUUUGUACCGACGCGUACGUCACUUGAACACACUACUCAACUUGAGAUACCGAACAUGGCUUCACCGUAUACUUCUAGACCCUACUUAAGUUCGUAAGGCGUACCAGAGUUGUACGUUCCCACCGAGCUUACAUAGGGACCUGUCAUCAAAAUCCUAUUAUGAAACCUUGGCCGCUGGAGACCAGAGCCACAAUAGCCUGCUUUGGACACGGCGAGGGACCGACAUCGUCCCCACAGCUCAAUUCUCUACCGAAGUGGAACAACCAGAUAGGAAAAUCACAACAAAGCGUCGAAGCUCAAAAGAGACAUAAGAGUGCGGUACCGUCUCAACCAUAGUACGAGUCUAUACAGAAAAAGGCAGGGUAAUAAUACAAAAACGGAUAAAGGUACGAAGUCAAUGAAGGUACAGUAUGGACGGAAAACAUAUAAAUGUGCACAGUGAAUAAAGUUACAGUAUGAACGGAAAAACAUGUACGUUAAUUACGAAAAUUAAUAGAGACCAGAGCCACAGUAACGUACUUUGGACACGACGAACGAGGGACCGGCAUCGACCCCACAGCUCAACUCUAUCUACCGAAAUGGAGCAACCGGAUAGAAAAACACAACAACGUCGAAACUAAAAAGAGACAUAAAAGUGCAGUACCGUCUCACCCAUAGUACAAGUCUAUACAAAAAAGAAAAGAAAAGAAAGAUAACAAUACAAAAACACAUAAAGGUACGAAGUCAAUGACGGUACAGUAUGGACAGAAAAAACAGGUAUAGGUACGCUAUAGAUAAAAAGGUACACGGAAAACACACACACACACACAUAUAUAUAUAUAGAUAGAUUAAUUACGAAAAUUAAUAGAUGGUAAGAAAGGACGUAUUGAACUGAGGAUGAGACCGUUACGGAGACGUCCUGUUAUAUAAAACGACCAAGGUCGCGGUAGUGUAGUUUGAACACGGCGACGAAGGACCGACGGACAUCGUGCCCGUACCUCGUUGUUCUCUACCGAAGUGAAACGACCGGAUAAAAAGACGGGGGAGGCUACCUCUACGGCUUAGUAGUUCCUUAAGUCUGCGACAGAAGACGACACUACUAGGUAUAGGUAUAGGUAUAGUCCUCCUAAGGUCUGUCUCUUUUGGGUCGGGGUUCUGGAACUUACUUAAUGGAACCUACUCGGCGACCUGCGACCCUGCCUCCGCUACCUCGACACGUAUCGCAACAGGUACCGUCCUACUCGGAUGGACCUCGUGUGCGGGACGGAACCACCUUUUCAUUUGCUCCGGAGCCUACCUCAUGUUUCAUACAUAUACAACCACGGAAAGUCAAAAUGAGAGGACAUUUGGCUUGAAAAUACCCUUUUUAAUGGCUCAAGGCACCUAUACAAACUUUUUUAUCCCACGAACAAAUCGACUUCUCUAACGAGACAACACCAUUUUCUUGACGUUCUUGUCUUUUCCUGUACUAAUAAUAUGCAGAUUGGUCAAAACACGACGACAUCGGUGUUUGUGUGUUAUAACAAAAAACUCCCCGUGUUUAUGUGUUCAUACAUAA
This 7376-nucleotide ribosomal RNA is filed under the name Triticum aestivum (bread wheat). RNAcentral's name for it is "partial small subunit ribosomal RNA". The record is from RNAcentral. Lineage: Eukaryota; Viridiplantae; Streptophyta; Magnoliopsida; Poales; Poaceae.